RNAcentral lists this long non-coding RNA (236 nucleotides) under Capsicum annuum. RNAcentral's name for it is "long non-coding RNA (CANN_LNC007242)". The record is from RNAcentral. Lineage: Eukaryota; Viridiplantae; Streptophyta; Magnoliopsida; Solanales; Solanaceae.
GAUGGGAGUAGAAGUUAGCAUCGAGUGAACCUAAGGAUGGGAACUCACCUACCAGUUCAGGGUGUGAUUCUUAGCAGUCAUCCUUAUGUUCUAGAACUAUGUAACCAGCAUAGUUUGAGACAUUUUAACCUAUCAAAUUAGGGUUGAUGAGGUGGAUUAACCUGUCAGUUUAUGGUUCCCACCAUUCUUAUUUGAGUACCUACCAGAUAAGGGUCACUCAUAGUUGUCCUUACCAG